RNAcentral lists this ribosomal RNA (484 nucleotides) under uncultured bacterium. RNAcentral's name for it is "partial 16S ribosomal RNA". It matches the Rfam family "Bacterial small subunit ribosomal RNA", at positions 30 to 507 of the family's 1533-position model. The record is from RNAcentral.
AUUGAACGCUGGCGGCAGGCCUAACACAUGCAAGUCGAGCGGAUGAAGGGAGCUUGCUCCUGGAUUCAGCGGCGGACGGGUGAGUAAUGCCUAGGAAUCUGCCUGGUAGUGGGGGAUAACGUCCGGAAACGGGCGCUAAUACCGCAUACGUCCUGAGGGAGAAAGUGGGGGAUCUUCGGACCUCACGCUAUCAGCUGAUCCUAGGUCGGAUUAGCUAGUUGGUGGGGUAAAGGCCUACCAAGGCGACGAUCCGUAACUGGUCUGAGAGGAUGAUCAGUCAAAAUGGAACUGAGAAAAGGGCCAGACUCCUACGGGAGGCAGCAGUGGGGAAUAUUGGACAAUGGGCGAAAGCCUGAUCCAGCCAUGCCGCGUGUGUGAAGAAGGUCUUCGGAUUGUAAAGCACUUUAAGUUGGGAGGAAGGGCAGUAAGUUAAUACCUUGCUGUUUUGACGUUACCAACAGAAUAAGCACCGGCUAACUUCGUG